UCCGAGUUGACCCCGGCAGUCUCUCACGAGUCCCCACCAUUACGUGCUGGCAACAUGAGACAAGGGUUGCGCUCGUUGCGGGACUUAACCCAACAUCUCACGACACGAGCUGACGACGGCCAUGCAGCACCUGUGUUCCGGUUCCCUUGCGGGCACCCCCAGCUUUCACCGGGCUUCCGGACAUGUCAAGGGUAGGUAAGGUUGUUCGCGUUGCAUCGAAUUAAUCCACAUCAUCCACCGCUUGUGCGGGUCCCCGUCAAUUCCUUUGAGUUUUAAUCUUGCGACCGUACUCCCCAGGCGGUCAACUUCACGCGUUAGCUUCGUUACCAAGGAAUUGCUUCCCCGACAACCAGUUGACAUAGUUUAGGGCGUGGACUAC
RNAcentral lists this unclassified non-coding RNA (379 nucleotides) under uncultured Gammaproteobacteria bacterium. RNAcentral describes it as "contains 16S-23S intergenic spacer region". Lineage: Bacteria; Pseudomonadati; Pseudomonadota; Gammaproteobacteria. The record is from RNAcentral.